This 359-nucleotide transfer-messenger RNA is filed under the name Salinisphaeraceae. Its description in RNAcentral is "Salinisphaera sp002320455 Standard tmRNA". It matches the Rfam family "transfer-messenger RNA". Rfam says of the family: Bacterial tmRNA, also known as 10Sa RNA or SsrA, is named for its dual tRNA and mRNA-like properties. Its role is to liberate the mRNA from a stalled ribosome. The record is from RNAcentral. RNAcentral also lists the same sequence under 2 other names. Lineage: Bacteria; Pseudomonadati; Pseudomonadota; Gammaproteobacteria; Salinisphaerales.
GGGGGCGACAUGGCUUCGACGCGGAUGUCAAAACCCAAGGUGCAUGCCGAGGUUGCAAUCUUCCUCGUUAAUCCGGUUGCAACUUAAGCUAGUUGCGAACGACGACAACUACGCACUAGCGGCUUAAACCCCGCUAGCGUCCGCCUGGUGAGUGUCUGUGCUCCCAGCCACGGAUGUCAUAUUACAUAGACUCGCGGUAAAGCCCCGUUUCGGGCUGAUCCGUUAAGAACAAACGAAGCUACGCGCAGGUUGUCCCUUUUCGUCGGGUAGCCUGCGCCGACAACUAAAGACGAAAUAAGCAUGUAGAUCCGAGGGUUGAGAAUCCGCGGACGCGGGUUCGAUUCCCGCCGCCUCCACCA